Molecule: non-coding RNA, 2138 nt
Organism: Aegilops tauschii subsp. strangulata
Lineage: Eukaryota; Viridiplantae; Streptophyta; Magnoliopsida; Poales; Poaceae
Source: RefSeq, a predicted model, not a curated record
AACAAUUACGGGCGUAUGCCACCGCCAAGUGAUCGAUGGACUGCACCAACCGUUCCCUCAAGGCCACUCCACCACACCCGCGGCUCCUUUUCCCCUUCCCCCAACCCUAGCCGCCACUCUGCACUGACAGCGCCGGCGCCCGCGCUCUCCGCCACCGCUCCGCACCUUCAGCGCUGGCGGCCGCGCUCUCCACCGCCGGUCUUCCGCCGCCGUCGCGGACCGUCUCCUUCGUCCCCGACCACCCAUCCCCGCCCUGCUCGCCCUCAUCCGCUGCUCUGCACCGACAGCGCCGGCGGCCGCGCUCUCCACCGUCAGUCUGCACCUUCCGCGCUGGCAGCCGCGCUCUCCACCGCCGGUCGUUCGCCGCCGUCGCGGACUGUCUCCUCCGUCCCCGACCACCCAUCCCCAAGCAGGCACUUUCUGGCCUUUUUACCUAGUCAAUCGCUCGGAACGAGAAGCUGCAGCACCGAACAAAUUGCUCACUCCUGGAGUUUAGGUGGGAAGCUGGCUGCUGGAUCUGGGCGACGGAGUUCAGGAUUUUGCAGCUGUGGUGAACUACCGAACACGCCCCUAAUCCUUUCUUUCCCCUCCUCACCUGGACGCGCCGCCGGCUGCUGGACGCGCCCGUCGAGCCCUCCUCGCGCCGCCGGCCGCUGGACGCCCGCCGCCGCGGAUCUGAAGCUCCACCGUCGCCGGCCCCACGUCGCGGAUCUGAAGCUCCACCAUCGCCUUCGUCUCGCGCCCCUCCUGCUCCUUCGUCUCGCGCCCCUCCUCGCGCGCCGCCGGCCCCUCGUGCUCUUCUCCUCUUCAGGUGGCAAACGAUUUGCUCCAGGUUCCCCGCGACUGCUUUUAUCUUGCUUUAAUUUCAGAUCAGGCGUACGAUCAAUGUCGACUAUUUCUGAUCAGAAGAAACGGACCUUAGAAGCUAUUCAACAACGGUAUGCGGCAGCUAAAGCUAAGAAGCUGAAAGAUGAACAGCCCAAGUGCCUGAAGAACAAAGAGAGUACCCCCAAGCCCAAGUUUGAUGCACGGAGGAAAGGAAAAACUCCCCAAUCCACUCCUUCUCGAACUUCUGGCCAGCUGCCUACAUUUAGAGCUCAAGGAAACUCCAGUCAUCAACAAAAAACUUCUGCUUACUUAGGUGGAGAAAUCAACCCUAUAUACUCUGAGCUUUCCUUUGCCCUUCAUGAAAAUUUGUCCCAAGAUGACCAUACGGAUCUCGAUAGCACAGACAUAGUUCACAGUAUCGUAUAUGAUAUAAUUCAGAAAGGUGGAGAAUCCGGGAAAAUUGCCAAGGGAUCCAAAAAGUUAAAGCUGGAUAGAGGGAUUCUUUUGGAUAACUAUGUUCAAAGGGGUCCUAUAUUAGUGGAUGCACAAUCAUGAUCUUUGUUGAUUCACUCAAAGCGAUCAAAAACACAUGUCACUGAAGCAACAUAAGAAAUGUGGGUCAUUUGAUUUACAUGAUAAAUUCCGCAGAUUUGACCUCUAUAAGCCAAUGAAUGAAAUGUGGAAAGAGUAUAUGCGAGAGCUUACAAAAAGUAUCCCGAAAAAGCAAUUGUCGGAAAACCUCCUUUCAGCAGAUCUUCAUGGGGCGCUUAUAAUAGUGGCACAAUGCAAAGCAGUCUCAUAUGAAGGUGUAAGUGGCAUCAUGAUUCGUGACACUGCAGAGACUUUUGGAAUUAUAUCAGAGGACAACCGCUUCCGAGUUGUGCCGAAAGCUGGGUCAGUUUUCGUCCUCCAAGCUGAUUGCUGGAAGGUUACACUAAUUGGCGACAAACUGUCGCCAAAGGAGAAGUUGAAGGAAAGCCAGCGUCUGCAGCGUGCGCAAUCACUGAUCAGAUAGAGUUUCGAGCCUGUUAGACUCUGUUUUCUGACAAAUUUUGCCCAGAUAAACCCCUACAGAUUUUCUUGUUUAGUCUUUGUUUCUGUUGAUUAACGUCAGUCUAUCCCUUCAUUGCUUAGCACUUGGCAGUUCUUGUUGCUCCACAUUGUAAGCCAGUCACUCCUUGCAAAGUCGCGACGCUGAGAAGUUCCUUAGUAAAUCCGAACACGCUUCUUGUGCAAGCUGCAUCCUUGUAGGAUAGCAACUAUCAUACCAUGAUCAAUCACAGGUCUUUAUCAAAAAAAUUUAUCAAUCA